Molecule: ribosomal RNA, 813 nt
Filed under: uncultured bacterium
Lineage: Bacteria
Description: bacterial SSU rRNA
Rfam family: Bacterial small subunit ribosomal RNA
Source: RNAcentral
GGCCCUGCUUUUGUGGGGUGCUCGAGUGGCGAACGGGUGAGUAACACGUGAGUAACCUGCCCUUGACUUUGGGAUAACUUCAGGAAACUGGGGCUGAUACCGGAUAGGAGCUCCUGCUGCAUGGUGGGGGUUGGAAAGUUUCGGCGGUUGGGGAUGGACUCGCGGCUUAUCAGCUUGUGGGUGGGGUAGUGGCUUACCAAGGCUUUGACGGGUAGCCGGCCUGAGAGGGUGACCGGCCACAUUGGGACUGAGAUACGGCCCAGACUCCUACGGGAGGCAGCAGUGGGGAAUAUUGCACAAUGGGCGGAAGCCUGAUGCAGCAACGCCGCGUGCGGGAUGACGGCCUUCGGGUUGUAAACCGCUUUCGCCUGUGACGAAGCGUGAGUGACGGUAAUGGGUAAAGAAGCACCGGCUAACUACGUGCCAGCAGCCGCGGUGAUACGUAGGGUGCGAGCGUUGUCCGGAUUUAUUGGGCGUAAAGGGCUCGUAAGUGGUUGAUCGCGUCGGAAGUGUAAUCUUGGGGCUUAACCCUGAGCGUGCUUUCGAUACGGGUUGACUUGAGUAAGGUAGGGGAGAAUGGAAUUCCUGGUGGAGCGGUGGAAUGCGCAGGUAUCAGGAGGAACACCAGUGGCGAAGGCGGUUCUCUGGGCCUUUCCUGACGCUGAGGAGCGAAAGCGUGGGGAGCGAACAGGCUUAGAUACCCUGGUAGUCCACGCUGUAAACGGUGGGUACUAGGUGUGGGGUCCAUUCCACGGGUUCCGCGCCGUAGCUAACGCUUUAAGUACCCCGCCUGGGGAGUACGGCCGCAAGGCU